UGUCAACCUACCCCAUGGACGGGAAUAACCUCGGGGAAACUGAGAAUAAUGCCCGAUAGAACAUUAUGCCUGGAAUGGUUUAUGUUCCAAAUGAUUUAUCGCCGUAGGAUGGGACUGCGGCCUAUCAGUUUGUUGGUGAGGUAAUGGCCCACCAAGACUAUUACAGGUACGGGCUCUGAGAGGAGUAGCCCGGAGAUGGGUACUGAGACACGGACCCAGGCCCUAUGGGGCGCAGCAGGCGAGAAAACUUUGCAAUGUGCGAAAGCACGACAGGGUUAAUCCGAGUGGUUUCUGCUAAAGAAACCUUUUGUCAGUCCUAGAAACACUGAUGAAUAAGGGGUGGGCAAGUUCUGGUGUCAGCCGCCGCGGUAAAACCAGCACCUCAAGUGGUCAGGAUGAUUAUUGGGCCUAAAGCAUCCGUAGCCGGCUCUGUAAGUUUUCGGUUAAAUCUGUACGCUCAACGUACAGGCUGCCGGGAAUACUGCAGAGCUAGGGAGUGGGAGAGGUAGACGGUACUCGGUAGGAAGGGGUAAAAUCCUUUGAUCUAUUGAUGACCACCUGUGGCGAAGGCGGUCUACCAGAACACGUCCGACGGUGAGGGAUGAAAGCUGGGGGAGCAAACCGGAUUAGAUACCCGGGUAGUCCCAGCUGUAAACUAUGCAAACUCAGUGAUGCAUUGGCUUGUGGCCAAUGCAGUGCUGCAGGGAAGCCGUUAAGUUUGCCGCCUGGGAAGUACGUACGCAAGUAUGAAACUA
Molecule: ribosomal RNA, 755 nt
Filed under: uncultured marine group I thaumarchaeote
Lineage: Archaea; Thermoproteati; Nitrososphaerota
Description: bacterial SSU rRNA
Rfam family: Archaeal small subunit ribosomal RNA
Source: RNAcentral